Aphis gossypii (cotton aphid) is the source of this 1534-nucleotide long non-coding RNA. RefSeq lists it as uncharacterized. The transcript has 3 exons. The record is from RefSeq and is a predicted model, not a curated record. NCBI's taxonomy places the organism in Eukaryota, Metazoa, Arthropoda, Insecta, Hemiptera, Aphididae.
GUACGUACGCGAGAUAUUAUUAUAAUAUUCAUGCCCGUGUACAGGUAAAAUAUAUAGUAUCGAAACGCACCGUCUCUAUUUCUGCGCACGUACACAACGAUAUUAUGAUAUAUAUAUAUAAUAAUGUUGUUAUUAUUAUUAUCGUCGUCGUCGUACCUAUGUGUGUCUUGUCGCGGUCACCGGCGCCGCAGCAGCCCGCAAUGCAGUUUUCGCACGACGCGCGUCUCGUCUCUGCGUGCUCGCCGCGUCCGGCACCGUUUUGCGUACCUACCGUCGGCGUCGUACCGCGGUCGAUCAAGACCGACCAAAGUGCAGGAAUCAUCGUUGAAAUCAUCGGAUUUACCAGCGGCGCUCGCGAGACACACCACGACGUUAUUGUGCGAAAUUGUGUUUUUUUUUUUUAUUUUUGAGUUCGGUUAUCGGCGAAAACGGUUUAAUUUUUUUUUCUUGUUUUUGCGAUUAUUUCCAAUUACACCUUUACCACGUGUGUCCGUUUGUGCGUGUGCGAGUGCACGUGCUUCACGAUCACGGGGUGCAUCGUACCUGCUGUGUAUUAGAUAAUGUAGCUGCUCGUCCGUCCUCUUCGCCUCUUCGGCCACUGUACUAUAAAAUGCUGCUGUGCAUUCAGACCAACUGACAAACAUGACAAACUGCAGCAAUAAAUAUUAUAUAUAUAUAUACAAGCAAAAUAUUCGUUCGAGCAAGACGAAUGGAAAAACGGGAUGUUUGCUCGUCGCCAACAAUCUUGGACCUUGAAAAAACAGGUUUUGAUAUGGUUGAAGAUUGUUUUCUAUACGAUAUGAUGAAAAUGUAACUACAAAAUGACAGAACUAUUCAAUUUACUGAUUACAUAAUAUUGGAACAUAUUUAAGCAAUGAUGCAGAGUUUUCAACACAGAUAUGAACCGAGCUUACACGGAAAAUAAUCGUAAAUCAUUUUAUAGAAAAUUAAACAAUUCCAAAUACAUUUGAAAAAUAUAUUAUACAAUCAAAUAUCCAUAGACGUAAUUUACCUAUGAAAGCAAAAUAUGAAGGUCACAAUUUUAAUUUUAUUUCAAUAAUGUUAAAUUAAAUAUUUUUCAAAUAAAUAGUUUUAUUUUCAAGUAAAAAUACGUGUUUCUUGAAUAUGCCAUGGGGCCAAACAAUAUAAUAAAAAGGUAGCUGUCAGUCGGUAGGUAAAACGUUGGGUAAGCAUUUGGGUCAAUAAUAAAGUUAUCGUUUUGUCGUACGGUCAAAUAAAAACCAUUGAUUUUUUUCUUCGUGUCAUUCAAUGCGUAUUACAUACCGUGACAUAUUAUACCUUCUUAAUAAAUCAAGUUUUAUUACUUCAUAUUUUAAUAUUAUAUUAACGCAUGCUGAGCAAAAAUUAUGUAUGUAGUAUUAUAGCUACAGUACAAUACCAAGAUAUCAAUAAAAAUGACAACGUAUCAAAUACAUUAACUCUAUUGUUUCUAUAAUUAAAAAAUUAAUAUUUACUCUUAAAUAAUUAUAAGCGAAACAAUAUCACACACAUUAUUUUAUAUAAAAUGUUCAUU